Molecule: long non-coding RNA, 357 nt
Filed under: Prunus dulcis (almond)
Lineage: Eukaryota; Viridiplantae; Streptophyta; Magnoliopsida; Rosales; Rosaceae
Description: sRNA ncRNA
Source: RNAcentral
AUGGAACCCAAUCUAGACCUUAUCAUACUUGCUCUUCUCCACGGCUCAUUCAUCGCCGGCUUUCUUUUUCUUGUUACCUCUGUCAUGUUGACGGCUCUCUUGCUUGCAUUCUCCCUCGGUCUCGUAUCAAUUCUCAUAAAUGAUUUGUGCUACAUUUCCUUGCUUUUUUCUUUCUACUUUGAAACAAUUCUGAAGCAUAAUCUUGAACUGGGUUUUGUUCUAAUUGCCUUCAAACUAUUGCAUCAUGCCGUUCGCAUCAUCUUGGCUUUAAAGCCUUUCCUUGAACGUAAGAUUUCCCAGCUCAAAGCAAAAGCAAGACAUGUGAUGAAUCUAAUUGAUGGCCUGAGACUUUCUUAA